RNAcentral lists this transfer RNA (87 nucleotides) under Xylaria grammica. RNAcentral's name for it is "tRNA-Cys". Lineage: Eukaryota; Fungi; Ascomycota; Sordariomycetes; Xylariales; Xylariaceae. The record is from RNAcentral.
CUCCCAGUGGCGUAGUUGGUCAACGCGUUCGAUUGCAAUAGCUUCUUUGUUACCGAAAGAUUACCUGUUUGAUUCAGGUCUAGGAGA